RNAcentral lists this ribosomal RNA (428 nucleotides) under uncultured bacterium. RNAcentral describes it as "bacterial SSU rRNA". It matches the Rfam family "Bacterial small subunit ribosomal RNA", at positions 355 to 774 of the family's 1533-position model. The record is from RNAcentral.
UGGGGAAUAUUGCGCAAUGGGCGAAAGCCUGACGCAGCGACGCCGCGUGGGUGAUGAAGGCCUUCGGGUCGUAAAGCCCUGUCGGGAGGGACGAAACCUCGGUGACCUAAUACGUCACCGACCUGACGGUACCUUUUAAGGAAGCACCGGCUAACUUCGUGCCAGCAGCCGCGGUAAUACGAAGGGAGCUAGCGUUGUUCGGAAUCACUGGGCGUAAAGCGCACGUAGGCGGACUUUCAAGUCAGGGGUGAAAUCCCGGGGCUCAACCUCGGAACUGCCUUUGAUACUGUUGGUCUCGAGUCCGGAAGAGGUGAGUGGAAUUCCUAGUGUAGAGGUGAAAUUCGUAGAUAUUAGGAAGAACACCGGUGGCGAAGGCGGCUCACUGGUCCGGUACUGACGCUGAGGUGCGAAAGCGUGGGGAGCAAACA